This 253-nucleotide unclassified non-coding RNA is filed under the name Hevea brasiliensis (rubber tree). Lineage: Eukaryota; Viridiplantae; Streptophyta; Magnoliopsida; Malpighiales; Euphorbiaceae. The record is from RNAcentral.
AGAAGAAGCUGAAAAUUCUUCUUUCUCUCUUUGCUCUCAACACAAUUACUCUUUAUCUCUACUUCUCUUCACACCCAGAUCAUUUCCGCCACAAUUUCCCUAAAAACCACUAUAUUACUACCGGAAACCGCUUUUCUUCAUCGGAAAACCAUCCAAAUUUGCACUCCUCCGUUGCUUCCCAAUCCAAACCAUGGCCUAUUUUGCCGUCUUACCUCCCUUGGUCUCAGAACCCCAACGUUGGUUGGAGAUCGUG